RNAcentral lists this ribosomal RNA (366 nucleotides) under uncultured bacterium. RNAcentral's name for it is "bacterial SSU rRNA". It matches the Rfam family "Bacterial small subunit ribosomal RNA", at positions 527 to 896 of the family's 1533-position model. The record is from RNAcentral.
GGAGGGUGCAAGCGUUAUCCGGAUUCACUGGGUUUAAAGGGAGCGUAGGUGGGCUUGUAAGUCAGUGGUGAAAUCUCCGUGCUUAACAUGGAAACUGCCAUUGAUACUAUAGGUCUUGAAUUAUCUGGAGGUUAGCGGAAUAUGUCAUGUAGCGGUGAAAUGCUUAGAUAUGACAUAGAACACCAAUUGCGAAGGCAGCUGGCUACGCAUAUAUUGACACUGAGGCACGAAAGCGUGGGGAUCAAACAGGAUUAGAUACCCUGGUAGUCCACGCCCUAAACUAUGAUACUCGACAUCAGCGAUACACUGUUGGUGUCUGAGCGAAAGCAUUAAGUAUCCCACCUGGGAAGUACGAUCGCAAGAUUG